This 74-nucleotide transfer RNA is filed under the name Tolypothrix sp. PCC 7601. RNAcentral describes it as "tRNA-Leu". It matches the Rfam family "tRNA". Rfam says of the family: Transfer RNA (tRNA) molecules are approximately 80 nucleotides in length. Lineage: Bacteria; Bacillati; Cyanobacteriota; Cyanophyceae; Nostocales; Tolypothrichaceae. The record is from RNAcentral. RNAcentral also lists the same sequence under 2 other names.
ACCCCUGUGACGCAAUUGGCAGACGUGGCCCGCUUAAACCGGGUUUGUUGCAGGUUUGAUUCCUGUCAGGGGUA